RNAcentral lists this small nucleolar RNA (131 nucleotides) under Castor canadensis (American beaver). RNAcentral describes it as "Small nucleolar RNA SNORA44 (ENSCCNG00000008143.1)". It matches the Rfam family "Small nucleolar RNA SNORA44". Rfam says of the family: ACA44 is a member of the H/ACA class of snoRNA that guide the sites of modification of uridines to pseudouridines. Lineage: Eukaryota; Metazoa; Chordata; Mammalia; Rodentia; Castoridae. The record is from Rfam by way of RNAcentral.
CAGCAUGUUCCCAAGGGCUGUGGCUUCUUGUGGCCAUGGGAUCUCCAACUGCAUGCAAGAGAAACCUGGAGAGACUUUGACAGCUCAGGUCACCCCAAUAUCUGCAGCUGCCACUCGCCUUUCCUAUAAUG